Molecule: non-coding RNA, 243 nt
Organism: Pelobates cultripes (western spadefoot toad)
Lineage: Eukaryota; Metazoa; Chordata; Amphibia; Anura; Pelobatidae
Source: the annotation of a GenBank genome assembly
GUAUUUAAAUGUUUCUAUCAUAUCCCCCCUGUCUCGUCUUUCCUCCAAGCUAUACAUGUUAAGAUCCUUUAACCUUUCCUGGUAAGUUUUAUCCUGCAAUCCAUGAACCAGUUUAGUAGCCCUUCUCUGAACCUUCUCUAAGGUAUCAAUAUCCUUCUGAAGAUACGGUCUCCAGUACUGUGUACAAUACUCCAAGUGAGGUCUCACCAGUGUUCUGUACAAUGGCAUGAGCACUUCCCUCUU